CCAAGUCAUCUGAUCAGAGGGAGCAGUGCCAACGAGUGCACAGAGCAGGUUAUCAGCUACUUACUGUUGCUGAGAAAUUAGCUUUGCAAAUUGUUAGAGGACAAUUCAACAGCAUUAGAGAUGAAAAAUGAACCAGAAAAUGUAUUCAGAAGCCAUUGAAGACACUAUGAAAGGUACUGUGAAGCACAUACCCUGAGAAAAUCUAUAAAGGAAAGCCAGAUAAAAAGGAAUGAAAUGAAAAAACAAAAAAGACAACCAAAUGUGACAGUUACUGGACACUGUCAGAUGUCAUCAUGUUGAGGCUUGUUCAGCAUUUUGUGGGCGUUCAGAGCAGGGCCCUGUGACUUAGCUUAGUGGUGACUGCCAUUUGUG
RNAcentral lists this long non-coding RNA (372 nucleotides) under Heterocephalus glaber (naked mole-rat). RNAcentral describes it as "lncRNA (ENSHGLG00100047781.1)". Lineage: Eukaryota; Metazoa; Chordata; Mammalia; Rodentia; Bathyergidae. The record is from RNAcentral.